RNAcentral lists this long non-coding RNA (1225 nucleotides) under Oryza sativa Indica Group (long-grained rice). RNAcentral's name for it is "lncRNA OsZS97_06G015300". Lineage: Eukaryota; Viridiplantae; Streptophyta; Magnoliopsida; Poales; Poaceae. The record is from RNAcentral.
AUGGUAACACCAGCACCGCCGGGGGGCUGGGACUUCUCCCCCGGUGAUGCAAUUCGAGAGGAAGUUCGUCUUCAAUUUCGUUCUCCAGUGCAUUUCUCUUCGAAGUUCUGCCCUACACACUUCCGGUUAGCCCCUCUCCAGGAGAGAAGAUCGGUUUUCAUGAGACUUCAAGGGUUGAAGGUUCCUAUCGCCGGUGAAACUCCGGCGACCAAGACGGUGGAGCCAAUCAUGGAGGAAGAUCCUAUUUCUGCACGUAACUUGAAUUCAAAUUUCAUGCUUUCCUGUACGCGUUGUUUGGAUAAGGGCCAUAUUGCUUCUGAUUGCUCUGAGCCUGUUCGGUGCCAUUCUUGCCUGGAGGCUGGUCAUAUGGCCCAUUUCUGUGCCACUAGGCCUGCUUACCGUCACUCUUCGGCAGUUGGUAUGUUCCAGCUUCGUUCGGUCAUGCAUAGAGAUGCGUUAGUAAACUCUCCCCCUGCUGCGUAUGAUGGGAUGCAUACUGUUGAGUUUGUGAAGCAUGACCAAGGGCCGAACUGGCAUGCUUGCCACUUUAAUCAAGAAGGCUGGUUUCUUCUCUUGGAUUUCCCACUAGAUUUUGUUGAUCGUCACCAUAUAAAUCUAGCAGUAGCUUCUUUUGGACAACUUUCUUUCUGGCUUGAUAGGGACCAGAUGUUGGGCAGAGAUCCUUUGGGUAAUGGUGGUGGAGGUGAAUCAUGGACUAUUUCUAUUUUUGUACUAGAUGGGGAUUUUGCUGACAUUCCACCUGAAGAGGAUUUACCUCCUGCUGGACUGCAGCCUGGGCCUAAUGAGGAUAAUGCUGAUGACCCAGAUGAUGGAAAUAUUUGGCAACUGGGACAUCCUGGUAAUCAGGGGGGAGGGGGUGCUUGGGAUGAUCUCGUGCAACAGCAACAGGCGGCGGAAGCAGAAAUAGAGGAUGCUUGGGGUCAGGAUCACCCUGGGCCAGUGCAGCUGUUUCUGGCCAGGCUCAAGGAUAUAGCUGACAGCGAAGGACCUAAGCACCCCUCUUUUUAUCCUAUGGCAGGAUUGCUGGAGAAAAUUGACCAUCUGUGCAAAGCUAAGGAAAUCAAGCAGGCAGCUCAAAUUCCUAGCCCCACAUCUCUGCCAUACAAUUCUCCUUUCAUGACCCUAGUACUCCCAAAGAGGAAGGCAAUGUUUGAUCAUGCUCCUCCUGCAAUGAGCACAUUUGUCACGUCCUGAUAAAUUCAUC